GUGGGGAAUAUUGGACAAUGGGCGAAAGCCUGAUCCAGCCAUGCCGCGUGUGUGAAGAAGGUCUUCGGAUUGUAAAGCACUUUAAGUUGGGAGGAAGGGCAGUAAGUUAAUACCUUGCUGUUUUUACGUUACCGACAGAAUAAGCACCGGCUAACUUCGUGCCAGCAGCCGCGGUAAUACGAAGGGUGCAAGCGUUAAUCGGAAUUACUGGGCGUAAAGCGCGCGCAGGUGGGUUUGUAAGUUGGGGGUGAAAUCCCCGGGCUCAACCAGGGAACUGACUCCAAAACUGGAUGACUAGAGUACGGUAGAGGGUAGUGGAAUUUCCUGUGUAGCGGUGAAAUGCGUAGAUAUAGGAAGGAACACCAGUGGCGAAGGCGACUACCUGGACUGAUACUGACACUGAGGUGCGAAAGCGUGGGGAGCAAACAGGAUUAGAAACCCUGGUAGUCC
RNAcentral lists this ribosomal RNA (450 nucleotides) under uncultured bacterium. RNAcentral describes it as "partial 16S ribosomal RNA". It matches the Rfam family "Bacterial small subunit ribosomal RNA", at positions 354 to 796 of the family's 1533-position model. The record is from RNAcentral.